UACGAAGGGGGCGAGCGUUGUUCGGAAUUACUGGGCGUAAAGGCGCGUAGGCGGCCGAUCAAGUCAGAUGUGAAAGUCCUGGGCUUAACCUGGGGACUGCAUUUGAUACUGAUUGGCUUGAAUGCAGGAGAGGAUAGCGGAAUUCCCAGUGUAGAGGUGAAAUUCGUAGAUAUCGGAAGGAACACCUGUGGCGAAAGCGGCUCACUGGACCAUUACUGACGCUGAGGCACGAAAGCUAGGGGAGCAAACAGG
Molecule: ribosomal RNA, 252 nt
Filed under: uncultured bacterium
Lineage: Bacteria
Description: partial 16S ribosomal RNA
Rfam family: Bacterial small subunit ribosomal RNA
Source: RNAcentral